UACCAGCACCCCGAGUGGUCGGGACGAUUAUUGGGCCUAAAGCAUCCGUAGCCGGUUCUGCAAGUCUCCCGUUAAAUCCAACUGCUCAACAGGUGGGCUGCGGAGGAUACUAUAGAGCUAGGAGGCGGGAGAGGCAAGCGGUACUUAGUGGGUAGGGGUAAAAUCCGUUGAUCCAUUGAAGACCACCAGUGGCGAAGGCGGCUUGCCAGAACGCACUCGACGGUGAGGGAUGAAAGCUGGGGGAGCAAACCGG
This 253-nucleotide ribosomal RNA is filed under the name uncultured bacterium. Its description in RNAcentral is "partial 16S ribosomal RNA". It matches the Rfam family "Archaeal small subunit ribosomal RNA", at positions 474 to 727 of the family's 1478-position model. The record is from RNAcentral.